Molecule: small nuclear RNA, 314 nt
Filed under: Myotis davidii
Lineage: Eukaryota; Metazoa; Chordata; Mammalia; Chiroptera; Vespertilionidae
Description: 7SK RNA
Rfam family: 7SK RNA
About the family: 7SK was discovered as an abundant small nuclear RNA in the mid-70s but a possible function has only recently been suggested.
Source: Rfam by way of RNAcentral
GGAUGUGAGGGCGAUCUGGCUGCGACAUCUGUCACCCCAUUGAUCGCCAGGGUUGAUUCGGCUGAUCUGGCUGGCUAGGCGGGUGUCCCCCUCCUCCCUCACCGAUCCAUGUGCGUCCCUCCCGAAGCUGCACGCUCGGUCGAAGAGGACGACCUUCCCCCCCGAGGAGAGGACCGGUCUUCGGUCAAGGGUAUACGAGUAGCUGCGCUCCCCUGCUAGGACCUCCAAACAAGCUCUGAAGAAAAGACAAAUAGGCAAUGUAGAGGAUAAUAAUUGUAUUUUAAUUUAUCUUUAUUGUUGGAAGUAUUACAGAU